AGGAGGCAGCAGUGGGGAAUUUUGGACAAUGGGGGCAACCCUGAUCCAGCCAUGCCGCGUGAGUGAAGAAGGCCUUCGGGUUGUAAAGCUCUUUCGGUGGGAACGAAACGGUCUGUGUUAAUACCACGGACUACUGACGGUACUCACAGAAGAAGCACCGGCUAACUACGUGCCAGCAGCCGCGGUAAUACGUAGGGUGCGAGCGUUAAUCGGAAUUACUGGGCGUAAAGCGUGCGCAGGCGGCGCGUUAAGACAGGUGUGAAAGCCCCGAGCUUAACUUGGGAAUUGCGCUUGUGACUGGCGUGCUGGAGUGUGGCAGAGGGAGGUGGAAUUCCACGUGUAGCAGUGAAAUGCGUAGAGAUGUGGAGGAACACCGAUGGCGAAGGCAGCCUCCUGGGCCAACACUGACGCUCAUGCACGAAAGCGUGGGGAGCAAACAGGAUUAGAUACCCCGGU
Molecule: ribosomal RNA, 456 nt
Filed under: uncultured bacterium
Lineage: Bacteria
Description: bacterial SSU rRNA
Rfam family: Bacterial small subunit ribosomal RNA
Source: RNAcentral